AUUGAACGCUGGCGGCAGGCCUAACACAUGCGAGUCGAGCGGAUGAAGGGAGCUUGCUCCUGGAUUCAGCGGCGGACGGGUGAGUAAUGCCUAGGAAUCUGCCUGGUAGUGGGGGAUAACGUCCGGAAUCGGGCGCUAAUACCGCAUACGUCCUGAGGGAGAAAGUGGGGGAUCUUCGGACCUCACGCUAUCAGAUGAGCCUAGGUCGGAUUAGCUAGUUGGUGGGGUAAAGGCCUACCAAGGCGACGAUCCGUAACUGGUCUGAGAGGAUGAUCAGUCACACUGGAACUGAGACACGGUCCAGACUCCUACGGGAGGCAGCAGUGGGGAAUAUUGGACAAUGGGCGAAAGCCUGAUCCAGCCAUGCCGCGUGUGUGAAGAAGGUCUUCGGAUUGUAAAGCACUUUAAGUUGGGAGGAAGGGCAGUAAGUUAAUACCUUGCUGUUUUGACGUUACCAACAGAAUAAGCACCGGCUAACUUCGUG
This 484-nucleotide ribosomal RNA is filed under the name uncultured bacterium. RNAcentral's name for it is "partial 16S ribosomal RNA". It matches the Rfam family "Bacterial small subunit ribosomal RNA", at positions 30 to 507 of the family's 1533-position model. The record is from RNAcentral.